This is a long non-coding RNA of Cavia porcellus (domestic guinea pig), 5522 nucleotides long. RefSeq lists it as uncharacterized. Lineage: Eukaryota; Metazoa; Chordata; Mammalia; Rodentia; Caviidae. The transcript is spliced from 2 exons. The record is from RefSeq and is a predicted model, not a curated record.
GGGGGCUCCCCAGCCCUCUCCCUGGGGCGCCCUCCCCUGCCCCAAGGCUAAAGGCCCCACUUUUAUCCCUGGGGAGUUUUUUUCAGAUCCCCUUUGUUACCUGAACAAUAAGUAACCCAGGUAGUUAGUUAUAAACUCUACAGGAACAAGGAGCUGGUUGAUAAUUUAUAGCAACAUCUCAAAUUUAAAUGGAAAGUAAAUAGCAUGCUGUUAGCAUUAAAGAAAACCCAAUCCCGGCGGGAGGGAAGCACUCAGCCUCCUCCCAGCCUGGCUGCCUCACUCUCUCCCCCUUCCCCUUCUCCCAGCUGGGUCUGAGCCCCUCUCCCCCAGGGCUCCCUGCUAGCCGGGCUUUUCCACCCUCGGUCUCAUCUUCCUCUUCUCCUCUGUCUUCCUCCUGCUCCCCUCUGUCUCUGCCUCGGCUUCCAGGUCUCUGCUAGUCCCCAGGGAGCACUUUGACCUCAGCUCCCCCACUCGAAUGCUGAAGACCAAGCGUCCCCCAUCCUACCAGCCACCAAAGGGGCUGCUGGUCAAGAGGCCCCAGCCAACCAGGUAAGACGACCCUUGGCACCCCAUUCCCCUCUCUGCACCCCAAAGCCCCUGAUCCCACCUGGGCCCCAAGCAGGCCAGGCCCAGCCCCACCCCAUCUGUUCGCCCUGGGUCUGGUGAUGCCUGGCCCUUCGCCCCUCCCCUGCAGCGCAGAAGCCCUUUGCUCUCCUCUUUCUGCCAAGUCAGGGGGGCCUGACUGCUCCCCUGCCCCCUGUCCUGGGCCUCAGGAGGCUCCCAGACCCUCCUGGGAAGGCCAGGGUCCACCAGCCCUCCCCCACCGCAAGCCGGGAUCAGGACCUUGGACAGAAAAGAGAUGGGUUCCCCCACACAGGAGCAACCUUGGAGCAAUUUCUCCAGCUCCUCAGCCACAUGAUCCCUUCCCCCACUGGCCCCUGGCCCCCAGUACAGCUCCUUUCCUACCCGAAGCCUCAGUUUCCCUGUCUGUGAAGCAGGAUCCUCAACAGCUACCUCCCAGGACUCCUCUGAAUUUUAUGGGCUAUUUGACACAGGAAGUCUCGACAGCAAGCAGAAAAGCCUUACAAAGUCCCUACAGCUGUAGGGACAAAGGCUAUGGAACCUUUAGAGGACAGUGGUCCCUGUGGCCCCCAGGUCGCACUCCUCCACCCCAGUAUCCCUGUCGUCCACUUCUACUGGGUGGGAGGUUGGUUGGCCCAGGCCUCUUCGGGCCACCAUCCUACAAGUUAAUGAUCACAGGCCUUAUCAGAGCCUUUUGCUGUUUAUAAAUUUAUAAAACAAAAGAGAAAUAAUAAAGUGCGUGGGUAAUUAGUAACCAGGUCAGCUCUGCUGAGUAGAGGGGAGGCAUCAAGCUCAGGACCCACCCAGUUCUCACCCAGGAGAUGGAGAACCAGCCAGCAGAUGGGGUACAGGACGAUGAGGGGGUACAGGACAAACAGAGAGACUUCUAAUGCAACCUGCAGGCCAGGUGGGAGGCCAGGGCCUUGCAGGAAAGAGGAGCAGCUCCCACCCCCAGCCUCCACCUGUCUGCCUCAGCGCAUCCCCAGGACACUUGAACAUCCCCACUUCCCGAGGCCCAGGCUGAAAGCUCCGGCUGUGAGAGUUGGGACUUGCAGAGGGGCAGGACAGGGGCAGCAGCGCAGGGCAGCCCGCGGGCUCCUUCCUGGGUGCUGGGGAAGGGGGGCCUUACUGCAGAAGGGUCUCCACCACCGCUUUCUGGUGGGCCGCCUCCUCCGGGCUGAGGUUCUCCAGCUCCUUGAGAAUGGGUGGCGUGAAGUCUUCUCCAUCGUCGUCCGUCUCGUCCUCGGAGCCCCGCGUCUCGCCCAGCCCAUUGGGCAGCUCUGCUAGCUCCCCUCGCGAGCCCUCGCCCUUGUCCAGGGGGCCAUCUCCAGCCAGCAGGUAGGGUCCCGGCUCGCCCAGGGCCUGGAUCAGCGCCUCUUUGCUCAGGCCCGACUCGAGCAGGGCCGCCAGGAGCUCCGUCUGCAGCUGGCUCAGUUUGGAAACCAUGGCUCGGCCACCGUGCGCCCGCCACGCGGCCCAGGGCCACCGAGCCGGCCGCCGCCCCCACCCACCGCGCGGCCGGCCGUCCACUUGCCGGUCGGCUGGCAGUCACAAGCCAGGCGCCUUGCACCCACUGCCCCCCCAAACCCCACUAGCCAAGCCCUUGGGCACCCCCAACCCCCAACCCAGGCCCCAGAGGCCAGUGAAUCAGGGCCCCUGCCUGCUCUGUUUACAUUGGAGCUGGGGAAAUUCUCCAAGGUUCAUAUUUAUCCGUGUGCUUAGCGAAGGGACUGAACUUUGGACUUCAGCCCUGCAAAGAGCAGGCCUCAUGGCAGCCCAGGAGCCAUGGCCUUCGGCGGGAGCCAGAGCCCAGCGGAGAGGGCAAGGGGCGGGCGGGGAGGUGGAUGGAAGUUGCUGGGAGCCAGGGAGGCCACAGAGAGCAGCUCUGGGUCCCACCCCCAAGGGCCCUGUAGGGGCCACAGGCUGAGACGGGGAGCAAAACAAAAAAAAAAAAAAAAAAAAAAAAAAAAACCUUGUGUCUUUCGGGAGAAGGAGCAGGAAGUUCUAGGCCGCAGCACCCAAGGGCAGAGCUAGGUCAUCGCCAUUUUGGGACCCUCGCCCCAAGCCCAGGCCCAACACUAGGCCUCCCCCAGGAAGCCUUAGUGAAGCUUCUGUGUUCCAGGGACUCUCCCAGGUCUGACAUGUGCAUCUCCAUUGUAUCCUCCUAAGCAGCUGCCUGUAGGCACAGGGAUUACCUCCCUUUUUUACACAGGAGGAAAUCCAGGCUCCCCUGAAGUCAGCAAGAGACAAGAAGAGCCGGGUCAGGUGUGUAGAUUGAAGAGAAUGAGGCCCUUUCCCCAGCUACAGAUUUUAAAGAGCACCCCCAAAAAACUAGUCAUUGAGAUAAAUAGCUUCCUUGUGCUAUAUAUUUUAAAAAUUAAAAUUAAUGUAAGAGACUAAAGAGCAUGUGUCCACUCAAACCUUCUUUAUGGGUGUUCACAACUGUAUCAUUCAGGGUAGCCCAAAGAUGGGGGGGGGGGGACACAAAUAUCGAUCCACAGAGGAACAGAUAAAGUGUGUGACAGGAUUUUAUUCAAGCCACAUAGUGUGGCCCCCUCCUAUAAUCUCAUCUGCUUAGAAGACUGAGGCAGGAGGAUCACAAUUUUGAGGCCAACCUGGUCAACUUAGUGAGACUCCAUGUCUCAAAAUAAAACAUGAACAGCGCUAGGGAUGUAGCCCAGUGGUGGAGCACUUGCCUAGUGUGCUCCAGGACCUGGGACAUCCCCACACUGCCACAGAAGAAAAGCAUAUUACUUGGUCUUGAAACAGGCCACAGCUCCGAUGAACCCUGAAUUCACUGCCGCAUGAAAAUCAUCCCACGAGGCCUCUUUCUACUUACUGAAAUGACCAGCGUAGGCAGAUCCCUAGGGAGGCGUAGCUCUGUGGCCCGGGGCUGGUGGGGGAUGAGAAUGGGCAAUGGCUGAUUCAGGGGUAACAAGCCUUCUAAAACUGACUGUGAUAGUUAUUGCAGGAUUCUGGAAAUAAUACUAAAAACCGCUCUGUUGUACGUUUUAGGAGAGGCCAGAUUUGAUGGCCUGUGGCUUUUUUUAAAUUAAUGUAAAUAAAUCUGUAGUGAGCAAAAUAUCAAACUUUUAAAUAAAGACAGGCCCAAUCCUCACUCACCUCACCCAGCUCUUCCCUCUUCCAGCCAUGAGUGUGACAGUAUUCUUCAAGGGAGAGGGCCCCGAGCCCAGGAAUAGUGGGCGUACACCAUUUCUUAGAGAAGCAGCAGUGCUGAGGGGCUGCCCCUAAGCUGUGGCAUUUCCAAAGAGCAUGGAAUUUUGAGGGGCCUGCAGAGCUAGGUGCCAUCAGCUGGAAAAGUACCUGAAAGACAGGCCAGGAGAGCGGAGAGAAAAGGCUGCCUAGUGUCCCCUCCACGCUCAGGGUGCUCCAGGGAACUCUGCCCUGGAAUCAACCUCAUUUUUGCACAGGAUUUAUUACUUUCCUGUAUCCUGGACUCCUGUGCCAUCCAAUAUUAGUAGCUACCAGCCCUGUGUGGCUGUUGAAGACUUGGAACAUGACUAAUGCCUCUUGGUGAAAUGAUAAUAUUUUGGGUAUUCCAGUUUAAUGUUUAAAAUUUUAAAUUACACUAGGCAUGACAAGAUUGUAACUCCAAUGCCUGAAAAUUGAGUUACAUUGUAUUGUCUCAAUACAAAUCAAGCCAGAUGGGGCUGGGGAUUUAGCUCAGUGGCACAAGUACCUGCCUUGCAAGCAGGCGGUUGUGAGUUCGAUCCCUGGUACCGAUAAAAAUGAAAAAGACAAAAAAACAAAUCAAGCUAGACAAGGUGGCAUAUGCCUAUAAACCCAGUACUUGGGAGACUAGGGCAGGAGGAUCACCAUGAGUUCAAGGCCAGUUUUGGAGAUCCUGUAUCAAAAAAAAAAAAAAAAAGUCAAGAAAUAAAUUGAAUUAAAAUUUUAAAGUAGGUAGGUGUGCUAGCAUAGGCUUAUAAUCCCAGCAACUCAUGAGGCUGAGGCAGGAAGAUAACAAAUUCUAGUUGUUACAAACUGGACAACUUAGCAAGACCUUAUCUCAAAACAAGAGUUGUGGGGGUGGCUAAGGAUGUAGUUCUGUGGUAGAGUCUCCUGGGUUCAAUCCUCAGCAACACACACACACAAAUUUAAAUGUAAAGUAAUUUUAAAUUAUAUUUAAUUUCAAUUUUAUUAUAAAUAUAGUUUUAAAUAAAUUUGAAGGUUAAUUUUAAUUAAAUAUCUUCGCCUGUUUUUUAGUUUUGCAGUGCUGGGUUUGGAACCCAGGGCCUUUCACAUUCUGAGAAGUUUCUGUACCCCUGAACUACAUCCCCAGCCUUCUUUGUUUGUUUGUUUGUUUUUGAGACAGGGUCUGGCUAAAUUGUCCAGGCUGGACCCAAAUUUGCAAUCUUCCUGCCUCAGCCUCCUGAGUAGCUGAGAUUACAGGUAUGUACCACCACACCUGGCUCUUUUUACCUUUUACAGGUGCUACUGGAACUCUUUAAAUUACAUGUUAAUUUUACUUUGUAUCUAGAAGCUCAGUAACACAGCACUUGCCUAGCACACACAAGGUCCUGGAUUCAAUCUCCAGCACCAUAAAAUUACAUGUGUGACUGACAGUAUUGGGCAAUAUUGCUCUAUGGUUUACGUAUGCAUUAUGCUUACCGUUUAUGACCUGCCAGCACAUUAGCCCUGCCAGGCAUGCUGGUGAGCACCUGUAAUCUCAGCACUCAAAAGGCUGAGGCAGGGGGUUCACCUGUGAGUUGAGGCCAGCCUAAGCUUUAUGGGGAGUUCAGAGUCAAUUUGAACUGCAUAGAGGGAUCUUGUAUCAAAAAAGAAAAAGUACAUCGGCCCCACCAGGUAAAAGCUUCUCUCUGCCUUGUUCACUGCUACAUUCCCAAAGCCUAAGGCACUCUCUUUUGUACACGUGGUAGAUGUCAAUAAAUGUCCAUUAAAUGGAUCACUGGUUUGCA